UUGCGUUUUGCUUGUUGACGCGUCGUAUACGCUAGAUUUUCUUUUUUGCUUAUGAAAAACACAAACAGAAGAUUAUUUUACAAGAUGAAGGAGUUUUGCCGGUUUUGUAAUAAUCCGGUUAUGACAGCCAAAUUCAAACGGAUGCAUUUUGCUUUGAGACAAUUCAAUCUUGUUUCUGCCAAAUACGGCUGAGGCUCAGAACAUUACUUGGACUUGUGUGAUAGAAGCAAACAUCCCAAGCCCCUUGAGCGCCGGUGCAGUUGCUUUCAUACUUUGGAAGCUUUUGAGGACUGAAAUGAACUGUUAGGUCUUGGGGUUGAUAAUGAAGAAACCAUGUGGAUAAAGUCAUCUUUUAUUUGACUAAUAAUAAUUCUUGUCGCAGAUAUGAUGUUUCUAAAGCCAUGUUUUGGUGUUUUUUGGAUUUCUGCUUGCAACUUCUCUAAUAGCAGUGACCUCCCUGGUCUUUCCACCACCACCGGUGCACUAAAUAAGCACUAAAUAAGAUUGCUUUCCUAAGAUUGCUUUCCUAAGAUUUUAGAUCAUGUCUGAGUUUGUCUAUGUCAACAAAUGGAAAGUUUUGGAGGAUGCCUACAGAAAAGACGAGUUGAAGUUUAAUAACCGAAUUAAUAUAUACUAUGUACCAACUUUUACCCAUAGAGGGGCUACAUCACUAAAAUUAAAUCAAAUACCUAAAAAAAUAUAAUACAAGAAGUUGUGUGGAAAAUAAAGUUAAUAUAUAAAUAAUGCUUCAAUAAUAAAGGCUAAUUACAAUGUCAAUAAAGGGGGUGUUUAGGUUUUCUGUUGCAUGUCUUGUUGCUUUUUGUUCUUUUUUGGUUGCGGCAUUCUCCUUUUAAAGCUCCUCAGUUGAACUACGUCAUGCUCCAGCAACUUCCUGGUGUUGUUUGUGUUUUGUUUGAGAUGGCAAAUCCCUCUAUUCCUAUGGUUCGGGCUCUUAAUUGAAAAACAAGUUUCAGAAACAAGUCACGGCAAAUAUGUAACAAUUAUGAAUCUAAUACGAUCAUUUAUAUUCUUCUGCUUUCAUAAGUAAUAGUUACUGAUUUUUAUGAAGCGUUUUUUAACUAAAAGGCAUGUCAAGAUCGCUUACCUUCUUUCUAAUGCUAAAAAAACGAAUGAUAUUUAUGCUAUGAUACUUUUCUAGGUCUAGGGGUGGUAACAAUGCUGCCGUCUUUGCUAGUGUUACUAGAGUGUCAGUGACUUUGCUUCCUUUUUCAGCUUAUUGUUAAUUUCUGCCGCUACUGACACUUUUUUCACAAAGAAAAAAGUUGUAUUACUUGCAACUAUUGAAAAAUAUUGAAAAUAUGACUUAAUUCAUAACUAUAAAAAUUAAACAGGCUCUUUCUUGAGUCUAAAAUGUGUUAGGUUUACCGUUUACCUAAUUGUUAAAUAUUUUGUUAUUUUUUUUCUAGUGUUAAUCAUCUAAAUACUAUGACAAAAAUGUCUCAAAUGAAAAAGAAAUAAUGAAGGGAAAUCCAGUUAUGAUCAAUGAUUUUGUAUUGAUAAUAUUAGGUACCUAUUUAAUACAAAAUCAUUGUUGGGAUAGAAAUCAAUUGUUCUUUUUAUAUUUUGUGGAGUUCUAUAAGUAGGUUUUUUUUCUAUGGUUGUAUUCUCCUUUUUAGGGUUCUUUUGGGUUGUUUUGUCCUUGCUAGUUAGAAUAGAAUAUGUUUAUUGUUCACAUGUUGGUGUACAGGUCUUACUCUAUAGGUACAAUAGUUAUAACAUGUAAUGUAAUGAAUGGUAUUGCAAUUUUAUUACUCGUGCAUACAAAAUAUACACAUAAGAAAUGUACCUACACAUCUAUUUCUACGCAUAUUAAAUAUGUAUAACAAAAAUAUUAUCUUAGAAUAAUACUUAUUUGCAUGAAAAACUCUUGGAGAGAGUAAAAACUGGCCUAGUUUUUAGCUUGGUAACGAAUUUUGUGUAUGUUUGCUCUUUAGUUAUUUUGGAAGGUAAUUAUAAAUUUGUUACUCAAUACUCAUUAGUGGUCUUCCCUCGUAUAAAAAUAAUUAUGUAGUCUCUUUAUUUGUGGGUACAUUCGCAAUGUGGGUGUAAGUAAAAACUGUGAAAAAAGCAUGAAUCUAGUAUUUUAAGAAGGAUCCUACCUUCUAAGGAAAAAAGUAUUUUAACUAUGCAUAGUUUCAUUCAUUCAAUAUAAGAAAAAAUACUUUGAAGUUACUAAAACUCUUACUUUGAUGACUUCAAUAUAUUUUUUCUCUUGUGUUCUUGAAAUAAAAUGUGGUUUUGUUUUUUUAUCCACUCCAGCUUAGGGCUUAGAGAGGUUUGUGUAGUCUUGUGUUAUCUAAAAAAUGUCAUACAUAGGUAAUAUUUUUACUCUUGUGUUCUUGAAAUAAAAUGAGGUUUUGUUUUUUUAUCCACUCCAGCUUAGGGCUUAGAGAGGUUUGUGUAGUCUUGUGUUAUCUAAAAAAUGUCAUACAUAGGUAAUAUUUUUACUCUUGUGUUCUUGAAAUAAAAUGAGGUUUUGUUUUUUUAUCCACUCCAGCUUAGGGCUUAGAGAGGUUUAUGUAGUCUUGUGUUAUCUAAAAAAAUGUCAUACCUAUGCUAUAGAAAAAGACAGUACGGUCAAGGAUUUUAGUUUCAGUAGGUUCAUUACCUACCUACUUAUAGAACUCCCCAAAAUAUAAAAAAGAACAUUUGAUUUCUAUCCCAACAAUGAUUUGAUAUUAAAUAGGUAUAAGUAUUAUUAAUAUAAAAUAUAUUUCAUUAUUUUUAUUAACUAUUAAGUAAGUUUGAUUUGUGUCGUCUUAAGAAUUAGUUUUGAACUCUUAAAACGACACAAAUCAAACUUACUUAAUAGUUAAUAAAAGUAUUGAAUUUUGGGCAUAUCAAAUAUAUAAUUGUUUCCUGGUUACAGUCUUGUGUUCUUGAAAUGAAAUGGGUUUAUUUAUCUUAAUGAUGUAAUAGCUAAAUCACUGCCUUACGGCGAUGUUACAAUGUCGGGUCGAAUAGUUACUUUUAUAAAUCUACUAGCUUUUGCCCGCGACUUCGUUUGCGUGGAAUUAGUACCAGCAGCUAUAGUAAGUGCAGCGCCUGGAUAAAAGCCAAUAGCAAUUCGAGCGUAAUAUAUGCGUAAUUAUUUACACUAAUUAACAGGCACUUCAUUAAAUUUCUCAUUUCCACCCCCCUUUUCAUCCUGUUUAGGGAUGACUUCUGACAAAAACUAUCCUAUGUCCUUCCUCGGGGCUUAAACUAUAUCUGUGCCGCAUUUAAACUAAAUCCGUUCAGCGGUUUAAGCGUGAAGAGAUAACAGAUAGACACACUUUCGCCUUUAUAAUAUUAGUAUGGAUGUUCACUCUUAAGUUCUUGUUAUCUUAAGGCGGGAUUCCACCAGUGUGCGGCACAAGCAUUUUUGUACUGAAUAUGGAAUCCCGCUUUGAGGUAGGUAUUAUCCAUGUGUCUUGUGAAAACAAAAUGUAUAAAAUAGUGUAUUUAUUUCCCCGCUUGGACCAAUUGGUAAUUGUUUAAUUUUACUAAUCCCGUAUCGAAUUUUUUUCAUCGUUAAUGUUUAGUGUCCGGAGUAGCGGUGGCAAAUUUCACACAGAAGGUAAAAGAGUCACCUAAGUUAUGAUUAAAAGAAUAACGAUUAAAUGAUUAAUUUUGCAUAAUAAUUGCUAUAAAUUAUCUUGCGAGCAUACAUAAGUAAUGUGCUUUUUUAUCAAAAUAUCAGUCACUACUAAAAUUCCUAGACUAAGAAGGAAGUAAGAUAUAUUCCUUUCUAGGCCAUUGAACUACAAUUGAGGACUGGAAUUAUGUGUUCGAGGUCCUCCUUACAGUCUUAAGUGCGUAUCCAUGUUAUAAAUGAGUGGACUAUGGCCACUUGUUCCUGGUUUUUCGGAGUGAAUCGGUUUCUUAAUUUAUUAAAGAUCCAUUUAUGAGUGGAAAAUGAUCGCUCUACAUCUACCGAUGUCAUGGUUGCAUGUUUUAGGACUUGUUUAUAAUUUUCCAUUGAAAUCAUAUUCCUUAAUUCGUCAACAUCAGAGCUAGUAUAUCAUGGCACCAUCAAAACAUUUCGGUCGAAUUCUUUGAACAUUACGAGAAGCACUUUGUUACCAUCACUUCUUAUGUCUUUGUUUUUGGUAAACUUUGUUUUUUAUCCCAUAAAAAUGGCAUGUCUUUAUAAAGUUCAAUCAUGUUUAGCAGUACUUCCUUUUCCUUGUCUGUGGCUGCGUCAUUUUGAACUGAAAUGCAAUAACUAAAACAAUAAAACAUCCAUACGUUCUAGGACGGAAAGCAAUA
Molecule: long non-coding RNA, 4272 nt
Organism: Cydia fagiglandana
Lineage: Eukaryota; Metazoa; Arthropoda; Insecta; Lepidoptera; Tortricidae
Exons: 3
Source: RefSeq, a predicted model, not a curated record